AUACGGAGGUGGCAAGCGUUACUCGGAAUUACUAGGCGUAAAGCGCAGGUAGGUGGUUUGGUAAGUCUGUAAUGAAAGCUCCUGGCUUAACCGGGAGAGGUUUACAGAUACUGUCAGGCUAGAGCAUGGAAGAGGGUACUGGAAUUCCCGGUGUAACGGUGAAAUGCGUAGAGAUCGGGAGGAACACCAAUGGCGAAAGCAGGUACCUGGUCCACUGCUGACACUGAGUUGCGAAAGCUAGGGGAGCAAACAGGAUUAGAUACCCUGGUAGUCCUAGCCGUAAACGAUGUAGACUAGAUAUGGGGGGUAUCGACCCCCUCCGUGUCGUCGCUAACGCAUUAAGUCUACCGCCUGGGGAGUACGGCCGCAAGGUUGAA
This 377-nucleotide ribosomal RNA is filed under the name uncultured bacterium. Its description in RNAcentral is "bacterial SSU rRNA". It matches the Rfam family "Bacterial small subunit ribosomal RNA", at positions 523 to 898 of the family's 1533-position model. The record is from RNAcentral.